RNAcentral lists this ribosomal RNA (1360 nucleotides) under uncultured prokaryote. RNAcentral's name for it is "partial 16S ribosomal RNA". It matches the Rfam family "Bacterial small subunit ribosomal RNA", at positions 42 to 1404 of the family's 1533-position model. The record is from RNAcentral.
GCAGGCCUAAUACAUGCAAGUCGAACGGUAAGGUCCCGCUUGCGGGAUACACGAGUGGCGCACGGGUGAGUAACGCGUAUGCAACCUACCUUUAACUGAAGAAUAGCCCCGAGAAAUCGGGAUUAAUACUUCAUAAUAAUAUAAAACGACAUCGUUUAAUAUUUAAAGCUCCGGCGGUUUAAGAUGGGCAUGCGGGACAUUAGAUAGUUGGUGAGGUAACGGCUCACCAAGUCAGCGAUGUCUAGGGGUUCUGAGAGGAUUAUCCCCCACACUGGUACUGAGACACGGACCAGACUCCUACGGGAGGCAGCAGUAAGGAAUAUUGGUCAAUGGACGAAAGUCUGAACCAGCCAUGCCGCGUGCAGGAUGACAGCCCUAUGGGUCGUAAACUGCUUUUAUAUGGGAAAGAAACUUUCACUCGUGAGUGGAACUGACGGUACCAUACGAAUAAGGAUCGGCUAACUCCGUGCCAGCAGCCGCGGUAAUACGGAGGAUCCAAGCGUUAUCCGGAUUCAUUGGGUUUAAAGGGUGCGCAGGCGGGCUAAUAAGUCAGUGGUGAAAUCUCUCGGCUCAACCGAGAAACUGCCAUUGAAACUGUUAGUCUUGAGUACAGUUGUAGUGGGCGGAAUAUAGCAUGUAGCGGGGAAAUGCUUAGAUAUGCUAUAGAACACCGAUCGCGAAGGCAGCUCACUAAGCUGUAACUGACUCUCAGGCACGAAAGCGUGGGGAGCGAACAGGAUUAGAUACCCUGGUAGUCCACGCCGUAAACUAUGGAUACUCGUUGUUGGCGAUAUACUGUCAGUGACCAAGCGAAAGCGUUAAGUAUCCCACCUGGGAAGUACGACCGCAAGGUUGAAACUCAAAGGAAUUGACGGGGGUCCGCACAAGCGGUGGAGUAUGUGGUUUAAUUCGAUGAUACGCGAGGAACCUUACCUGGGCUAGAAUGUGAGCGCAAUCCCCAGAGAUGGGGAGUUCUUCGGACGUGAAACAAGGUGCUGCAUGGCUGUCGUCAGCUCGUGCCGUGAGGUGUUGGGUUAAGUCCCGCAACGAGCGCAACCCCUAUUCUUAGUUGCCAGCAUGUAAUGAUGGGGACUCUAAGAAGACUGCCUACGCAAGUAGAGAGGAAGGAGGGGACGACGUCAAGUCAUCAUGGCCCUUACGCCCAGGGCUACACACGUGCUACAAUGGCGCAUACAGAGGGUAGCCAACUGGUAACAGUGAGCCAAUCUCUAAAAGUGCGUCUCAGUUCGGAUUGGGGUCUGCAACUCGACCCCAUGAAGCUGGAAUCGCUAGUAAUCGCGCAUCAGCAAUGGCGCGGUGAAUACGUUCCCGGACCUUGUACACACCGCCCGUCAAGCCA